RNAcentral lists this ribosomal RNA (438 nucleotides) under uncultured bacterium. RNAcentral describes it as "bacterial SSU rRNA". It matches the Rfam family "Bacterial small subunit ribosomal RNA", at positions 66 to 518 of the family's 1533-position model. The record is from RNAcentral.
AUGAAGCGGAGACAUUGAAGUGACUUAGUGGCGGACGGGUGAGUAACGCGUGGGUAACCGUGCCCUGUACUGGGGGACAACAGUGGAAACGGCUGCUAAUACCGCAUAAGCGCACAGCAUCGCAUGGUGCAGUGUGAAAAAACUCCGGUGGUACAGGAUGGACCCGCGUCUGAUUAGCUAGUUGGUGGGGUAACGGCCUACCAAGGCGACGAUCAGUAGCCGGCCUGAGAGGGUGAACGGCCACAUUGGGACUGAGACACGGCCCAGACUCCUACGGGAGGCAGCAGUGGGGAAUAUUGCACAAUGGGGGAAACCCUGAUGCAGGCCGACGCCGCGUGAGUGAUGAAGUAUUUCGGUAUGUUAAAGCUCUAUCAGGCAGGAAAGUAAAAUGACGGUACCUGACUAGGAAGCCCCGGCUAACUACGUGCCAGCAGCCGC